RNAcentral lists this long non-coding RNA (598 nucleotides) under Mustela putorius furo (domestic ferret). RNAcentral's name for it is "lncRNA (ENSMPUG00000025552.1)". Lineage: Eukaryota; Metazoa; Chordata; Mammalia; Carnivora; Mustelidae. The record is from RNAcentral.
GUAUUGGGAUAAUAUACUCUUGGUCUCAAGGAAAAAGGGGAGUUUAGCAGGUGGUAGAUGUAAUAUAUGUUAUGAGGGGGUGGAUGGAAAAGGGAUGAGGGGUGGGGACAUUCAACGAAAUGGUGCUGCUGAACCUUUGUGGAUUACAUGCUAUUGACAGCACAGAACAAUGACCCUGCCAGUUGGGGGCAUGUGGAUUUACUAACAUAGGAAAUAAAAUAAGAACUUGGCUUCUCGUUUUUUUAAUAAAAAGUCUCUAAACCACUUAUGCCACUAUUUUCCAGGUGGUGUAACUGUCUCCAACUGCUGGGAGAAGUCGUCUACUGACAAUGUCACCACCACUUUCCAUUUUUGUUUAGGGACAGCCCGGAAGCUGAGAUUUGUGUAAUCGCUAAGCAAGGAGUCCACAGAGACCUUUUUUCAAUGAAAAGACAGACUGGAGAAACUUCAAGUUAAGGAAAAUUAUGUCAGCUGUCUUCCACUGAGGGAUGAUCCAGGAACCAGAGCCCAACAAGUUUGUUCUCAUUGUUUGAGUGCCGCCAAGUGCGAAAGGAAACAGAAUGGAGCUGGUGUCCAGAUAAUCUGUGAAGAGGCUGUC